RNAcentral lists this ribosomal RNA (497 nucleotides) under uncultured bacterium. RNAcentral's name for it is "partial 16S ribosomal RNA". It matches the Rfam family "Bacterial small subunit ribosomal RNA", at positions 28 to 507 of the family's 1533-position model. The record is from RNAcentral.
GAUGAACGCUGGCGGCGUGCCUAAUACAUGCAAGUCGAGCGAACAGACGAGGAGCUUGCUCCUUUGACGUUAGCGGCGGACGGGUGAGUAACACGUAGGUAACCUACCUAUAAGACUGGGAUAACUUCGGGAAACCGGAGCUAAUACCGGAUAAUAUUUCGAACCGCAUGGUUCGAUAGUGAAAGAUGGCUUUGCUAUCACUUAUAGAUGGACCUGCGCCGUAUUAGCUAGUUGGUAAGGUAACGGCUUACCAAGGCAACGAUACGUAGCCGACCUGAGAGGGUGAUCGGCCACACUGGAACUGAGACACGGUCCAGACUCCUACGGGAGGCAGCAGUAGGGAAUCUUCCGCAAAGGGCGAAAGCCUGACGGAGCAACGCCGCGUGAGUGAUGAAGGUCUUCGGAUCGUAAAACUCUGUUAUUAGGGAAGAACAAGCGUGUAAGUAACUGUGCACGUCUUGACGGUACCUAAUCAGAAAGCCACGGCUAACUACGUG